UACCUUAUAUGUAAUCACAGCAGUCAGGCGGCGAGUGAUAAAAUCCGUCGUCAAGAGGGAAACAACCCAGACUACCAGCUAAGGUCCCUAAAUCUUACUUAAGUGGAAAACGAUGUGAAGUUACUUAAACAACCAGGAGGUUGGCUUAGAAGCAGCCAUCCUUUAAAGAAAGCGUAAUAGCUCACUGGUCUAGUGAUUUUGCGCGGAAAAUAUAACGGGGCUAAAGUAAGUACCGAAGCUGUAGACUUGCGCACAACUUAGAUUAUUUAAGUUUAGAAUAUGAGAAACUAAGUUAUAUGUUUAGUUAUAUUUUUACUGAUUUUUAUAGAGUAAAGAUAGAAAUAAAACUUAGUAAAAUCAGUAAAAAUAUUCUUAGACUAAAGUUAAGUAGUUUAAGUUGUGUGCAAGUGGUAGGAGAGCGUUCUAUUUGCGUCGAAGGUAUACCGGUAAGGAGUGCUGGAGCGAAUAGAAGUGAGCAUGCAGGCAUGAGUAGCGAUAAUUAAUGUGAGAAUCAUUAACGCCGUAAACCCAAGGUUUCCUACGCGAUGCUCGUCAUCGUAGGGUUAGUCGGGUCCUAAGUCGAGUCCGAAAGGGGUAGACGAUGGCAAAUUGGUUAAUAUUCCAAUACCAACAUUAGUGUGCGAUGGAAGGACGCUUAGGGCUAAGGGGGCUAGCGGAUGGAAGUGCUAGUCUAAGGUCGUAGGAGGUUAUACAGGCAAAUCCGUAUAACAAUACUCCGAGAACUGAAAGGCUUUUUGAAGUCUUCGGAUGGAUAGAAGAACCCCUGAUGCCGUCGAGCCAAGAAAAGUUUCUAAGUUUAGCUAAUGUUGCCCGUACCGUAAACCGACACAGGUGGGUGGGAUGAGUAUUCUAAGGCGCGUGGAAGAACUCUCUUUAAGGAACUCUGCAAAAUAGCACCGUAUCUUCGGUAUAAGGUGUGGUUCGCUUCGUAUUAGGAUUUACUCCGAAAGCGAAGAAACUUACAACAAAGAGUCCCUCCCGACUGUUUACCAAAAACACAGCACUCUGCUAACUCGUAAGAGGAUGUAUAGGGUGUGACGCCUGCCCGGUGCUCGAAGGUUAAUUGAUGGGGUUAGCAUUAGCGAAGCUCUUGAUCGAAGCCCGAGUAAACGGCGGCCGUAACUAUAACGGUCCUAAGGUAGCGAAAUUCCUUGUCGGUUAAAUACCGACCUGCAUGAAUGGCGUAACGAGAUGGGAGCUGUCUCAAAGAGGGAUCCAGUGAAAUUGUAGUGGAGGUGAAAAUUCCUCCUACCCGCGGCAAGACGGAGAGACCCCGUGGACCUUUACUACAGCUUGACACUGCUAUUUGGAUAAGAAUGUGCAGGAUAGGUGGGAGGCUUUGAGUAUAUGACGCCAGUUGUAUAUGAGCCAUUGUUGAGAUACCACUCUUUCUUAUUUGGGUAGCUAACCAGCUUGAGUUAUCCUCAAGUGGGACAAUGUCUGGUGGGUAGUUUGACUGGGGCGGUCGCCUCCCAAAUAAUAACGGAGGCUUACAAAGGUUGGCUCAGAACGGUUGGAAAUCGUUCGUAGAGUAUAAAGGUAUAAGCCAGCUUAACUGCAAGACAUACAAGUCAAGCAGAGACGAAAGUCGGUCUUAGUGAUCCGGUGGUUCUGUGUGGAAGGGCCAUCGCUCAAAGGAUAAAAGGUACCCCGGGGAUAACAGGCUGAUCUCCCCCAAGAGCUCACAUCGACGGGGAGGUUUGGCACCUCGAUGUCGGCUCAUCGCAUCCUGGGGCUGGAGCAGGUCCCAAGGGUAUGGCUGUUCGCCAUUUAAAGCGGUACGCGAGCUGGGUUCAGAACGUCGUGAGACAGUUCGGUCCCUAUCUGCCGUGGGCGUAAGAAGAUUGAAGAGAUUUGACCCUAGUACGAGAGGACCGGGUUGAACAAACCACUGGUGUAGCUGUUGUUCUGCCAAGAGCAUCGCAGCGUAGCUAAGUUUGGAAAGGAUAAACGCUGAAAGCAUCUAAGCGUGAAGCCAACUCUAAGAUGAAUCUUCUCUAAGCUCUCUAGAAGACUACUAGUUUGAUAGGCUGGGUGUGUAAUGGAUGAAAGUCCUUUAGCUGACCAGUACUAAUAGAGCGUUUGGCUUAUCUUUAAUAAAGCAU
RNAcentral lists this ribosomal RNA (2126 nucleotides) under Campylobacter coli. RNAcentral's name for it is "partial 23S ribosomal RNA". It matches the Rfam family "Bacterial large subunit ribosomal RNA", at positions 961 to 2925 of the family's 2925-position model. Lineage: Bacteria; Pseudomonadati; Campylobacterota; Epsilonproteobacteria; Campylobacterales; Campylobacteraceae. The record is from RNAcentral.